RNAcentral lists this ribosomal RNA (437 nucleotides) under uncultured bacterium. RNAcentral describes it as "partial 16S ribosomal RNA". It matches the Rfam family "Bacterial small subunit ribosomal RNA", at positions 355 to 783 of the family's 1533-position model. The record is from RNAcentral.
UGGGGAAUAUUGCACAAUGGGCGCAAGCCUGAUGCAGCCAUGCCGCGUGUGUGAAGAAGGCCUUCGGGUUGUAAAGCACUUUCAGCGAGGAGGAAGGUGGUGAACUUAAUACGUUCAUCAAUUGACGUUACUCGCAGAAGAAGCACCGGCUAACUCCGUGCCAGCAGCCGCGGUAAUACGGAGGGUGCAAGCGUUAAUCGGAAUUACUGGGCGUAAAGCGCACGCAGGCGGUUUGUUAAGUCAGAUGUGAAAUCCCCGGGCUCAACCUGGGAACUGCAUUUGAAACUGGCAAGCUAGAGUCUCGUAGAGGGGGGUAGAAUUCCAGGUGUAGCGGUGAAAUGCGGUAGAGAUCUGGAGGAAUACCGGUGGCGAAGGCGGCCCCCUGGACGAAGACUGACGCUCAGGUGCGAAAGCGUGGGGAGCAAACAGGAUUAGAU